Molecule: ribosomal RNA, 254 nt
Filed under: uncultured bacterium
Lineage: Bacteria
Description: partial 16S ribosomal RNA
Rfam family: Bacterial small subunit ribosomal RNA
Source: RNAcentral
UACGUAGGGCGCGAGCGUUGUCCGGAUUUAUUGGGCGUAAAGAGCUCGUAGGCGGCUUGUCGCGUCGACUGUGAAAACCCGUGGCUCAACCAUGUGGUCUGCAGUCGAUACGGGCAGGCUAGAAUUCGGUAGGGGAGACUGGAAUUCCUGGUGUAGCGGUGAAAUGCGCAGAUAUCAGGAGGAACACCGGUGGCGAAGGCGGGUCUCUGGGCCGAUAUUGACGCUGAGGAGCGAAAGCGUGGGGAGCAAACAGG